RNAcentral lists this ribosomal RNA (473 nucleotides) under uncultured bacterium. RNAcentral's name for it is "bacterial SSU rRNA". It matches the Rfam family "Bacterial small subunit ribosomal RNA", at positions 29 to 498 of the family's 1533-position model. The record is from RNAcentral.
AACGAACGCUGGCGGCGUGGAUAAGACAUGCAAGUCGAACGAGGAAUUUUUAAGCUUGCUUUGAAAUUCCUAGUGGCGAACGGGUGAGUAACACGUGAGUUACCUGCCCCAAAGUCGGGGACAGCCCGGGGAAACCCGGAUUAAUACCGGAUGUGAUCGUAAGAUUAAAGAGGCUUCGGCCUCGCUUUGGGAUGGGCUCGCGGCCUAUCAGCUUGUUGGUGAGGUAACGGCUCACCAAGGCGAUGACGGGUAGCUGGUCUGAGAGGAUGAUCAGUCACACUGGAACUGAGACACGGUCCAGACACCUACGGGUGGCAGCAGUCGAGAAUCAUUCACAAUGGGGGCAACCCUGAUGGUGCGACGCCGCGUGGAGGACGAAGGCCCUAGGGUCGUAAACUCCUGUCAUCAAGGAGUAAGGACUUCACCAGGAAAAUGGGUGGGGUAUUGAUAGUACCUGAAGAGGAAGGACGGCU